RNAcentral lists this ribosomal RNA (470 nucleotides) under uncultured bacterium. Its description in RNAcentral is "bacterial SSU rRNA". It matches the Rfam family "Bacterial small subunit ribosomal RNA", at positions 28 to 507 of the family's 1533-position model. The record is from RNAcentral.
GAUGAACGCUAGCUACAGGCUUAACACAUGCAAGUCGAGGGGCAGCACAGUGUAGCAAUACAUGGGUGGCGACCGGCGCACGGGUGCGUAACGCGUAUCCAACCUUCCCGUUACUCUUGGAUAGCCUUCCGAAAGGGAGAUUAAUACCUGAUGGUGUUUCAAUUCCGCAUGUUAAUGAAACUAAAGAUUUAUCGGUAUCGGAUGGGGAUGCGUGACAUUAGAUAGUAGGCGGGGUAACGGCCCACCUAGUCUACGAUGUCUAGGGGUUCUGAGAGGAAGGUCCCCCACACUGGAACUGAGACACGGUCCAGACUCCUACGGGAGGCAGCAGUGGGGAAUAUUGGGCAAUGGGGGAAACCCUGACCCAGCAACGCCGCGUGAAGGAAGAAGGCCCUCGGGUUGUAAACUUCUUUUACCAGGGACGAACACAAUGACGGUACCUGGAGAAAAAGCAAACGGCUAACUACGUG